Molecule: ribosomal RNA, 49 nt
Filed under: Chilo partellus
Lineage: Eukaryota; Metazoa; Arthropoda; Insecta; Lepidoptera; Crambidae
Description: partial 5.8S ribosomal RNA
Source: RNAcentral
UGCGGUCCAUGGAGACACAUCCAGGACCACUCCUGUCUGAGGGCCGGCU